Molecule: ribosomal RNA, 429 nt
Filed under: Chloroflexota bacterium
Lineage: Bacteria; Bacillati; Chloroflexota
Description: Chloroflexi bacterium partial 16S ribosomal RNA
Rfam family: Bacterial small subunit ribosomal RNA
Source: RNAcentral
UGGGGAAUAUUGCACAAUGGGCGCAAGCCUGAUGCAGCCAUGCCGCGUGUAUGAAGAAGGCCUUCGGGUUGUAAAGUACUUUCAGCGGGGAGGAAGGGAGUAAAGUUAAUACCUUUGCUCAUUGACGUUACCCGCAGAAGAAGCACCGGCUAACUCCGUGCCAGCAGCCGCGGUAAUACGGAGGGUGCAAGCGUUAAUCGGAAUUACUGGGCGUAAAGCGCACGCAGGCGGUUUGUUAAGUCAGAUGUGAAAUCCCCGGGCUCAACCUGGGAACUGCAUCUGAUACUGGCAAGCUUGAGUCUCGUAGAGGGGGGUAGAAUUCCAGGUGUAGCGGUGAAAUGCGUAGAGAGCUGGAGGAAUACCGGUGGCGAAGGCGGCCCCCUGGACGAAGACUGACGCUCAGGUGCGAAAGCGUGGGGAGCAAACAGG